This is a small nuclear RNA of Erinaceus europaeus (western European hedgehog), 107 nucleotides long. The record is from Ensembl. Lineage: Eukaryota; Metazoa; Chordata; Mammalia; Eulipotyphla; Erinaceidae.
GUGCUCGUUUUGGCAGCACAUAUACUAAAGUUGGAAUGAUACAGAGAAGAUUAGCAUGGCCCCUGUGCAAGGAUGACAUGCAAAUUCGUGAAGCAUUCCAUAUUUUU